GACGAACGCUGGCGGCGUGCUUAACACAUGCAAGUCGAGCGGUAAGGCCCUUUCGGGGGUACACGAGCGGCGAACGGGUGAGUAACACGUGGGUGACCUGCCCUCAGCUCUGGGAUAAGCCUGGGAAACCGGGUCUAAUACCGGAUAUGACUCCAUGACGCAUGUUGUGGGGUGGAAAGCCUUGUGCGGCUGAGGAUGGGCCCGCGGCCUAUCAGCUUGUUGGUGGGGUGAUGGCCUACCAAGGCGACGACGGGUAGCCGGCCUGAGAGGGCGACCGGCCACACUGGGACUGAGACACGGCCCAGACUCCUACGGGAGGCAGCAGUGGGGAAUCUUGCGCAAUGGGCGAAAGCCUGACGCAGCGACGCCGCGUGAGGGAUGAAGUCCGUUAGGAUGUAAACUUCUUUGCAGGGGAUGAAUGUCCCGCUUUAGGCGGGAUUGACCGUACCUUGCGAAUAAGGAUCGGCUAACUACGUGCCA
Molecule: ribosomal RNA, 480 nt
Filed under: uncultured bacterium
Lineage: Bacteria
Description: bacterial SSU rRNA
Rfam family: Bacterial small subunit ribosomal RNA
Source: RNAcentral